ACGCUCGACACCUACGGGAAGCAGCAGUGGGGAAUAUUGCACAAUGGGGGAAACCCUGAUGCAGCGACGCCGCGUGGAGGAAGAAGGUCUUCGGAUUGUAAACUCCUGUUGUUGGGGAAAAAGAGGAUGGUACCCAACAAGGAAGUGACGGCUAACUACGUGCCAGAGCCGCGGUAAUCUGAGCGGGCUGGCAAGGC
RNAcentral lists this ribosomal RNA (197 nucleotides) under uncultured bacterium. RNAcentral describes it as "partial 16S ribosomal RNA". It matches the Rfam family "Bacterial small subunit ribosomal RNA", at positions 326 to 539 of the family's 1533-position model. The record is from RNAcentral.